Molecule: ribosomal RNA, 468 nt
Filed under: uncultured bacterium
Lineage: Bacteria
Description: partial 16S ribosomal RNA
Rfam family: Bacterial small subunit ribosomal RNA
Source: RNAcentral
GACGAACGCUGGCGGCGUGCUUAACACAUGCAAGUCGAACGGAAAGGCCCUGCUUUUGUGGGGUGCUCGAGUGGCGAACGGGGGAGUAACACGCGAGUAACCUGCCCUUGACUUUGGGAUAACUUCAGGAAACUGGGGCGAAUAUCGGGUAGGAUCUCCUGCUGCAUGGGGUGGGUUGGAAAAUGUCGGCGGUGGGGGAUGGACUCGCGGCUUAUCAGCUUGUUGGUGGGGUAGUGGCUUACCAAGGCUUUGACGGGUAGCCGGCCUGAGAGGGUGACCAGCCACAUUGGGACUGAGAUACGGACCAGAAUCCUACCGGAGGCAGCAGUGGAGAAUAUUGCACAAUGGGGGGAAGCCUGAUGCAGCAACGCCGCGUGCGGGAUGACGGCCUUCGGGUUGUAAACCGAUUUCGCCUGUGACGAAGCGUGCGUGACGGUAAUGGGUAAAGAAGCAACGGCUAACUACGUG